CCCGCUGAACUUAGGGGUAUCUAUAAGCGGAGGGAAAGAAACUAACAAGGAUGCCCUUAGUAACUGCACAGUGAAGUGGGAAAAGCUCAAAUUUAGAAUCUGGCAGUCACUUGGCUGCCCGAGUUGUAAUCUAGAGAAGUGUUGCCCGUGCUGGACCAUGUACAAGUCUCCUGGGAUGGAGCAUCACAGAGGGUGAGAAUGCUGUCUUUGAGAUGGACCGGCAGUGCUUUUGUGGCAUGCUCUCAAAGAGUCGAGUUGUUUGGGAAUGCAGCUGAAAAUGGGUGGUAAAUGCCAUCUAAAGCUAAAUAUUGGCGAGAGACCGAUAGCGAACAAGUGCCGGGAGGGAAAGAUGAAAAGAACUUUGGAAAGAGAGUUAAACAGCACGUGGAAUUGCUGAAACGGAAACGCUUGAAGUCAGUCGCGUUGACUCGGAAUCAGCUCUGCUUUUGCUGGGUGUACUUUCUUGCCCAUGGAGCAACAUCAAUUUUUACCAUUGGAUAAUAGUUGCUGGGAAUGUAGCAUCCUUUUCGAUGUGUUAUAGCCUGGUGAUGCAUACAGUGCGUGGGGAUUGAGGAACUCAGCACGCCAUGGGGCGUGGUCUUGACCACGUUCAGGCUUAGGACGCUGAGAUAAGGGGGGUAAGGGGACCCGGCGUGAAACUCGGAAGGCCGAAUUGGCGGGGGCUGAAUUCAAUUCCGGCCGAUUAGGAAGUCGUAGUACGAUUGGAUGGGCGUGGUUUUUCAAUGUCUUGGCUUGAAAAACCUGUGGCUUUUCCCAACUUAGGCACCUGGGAGGAAAUGCCCGUUUCGCCCCCUGCGCUAAUAUUGAAGAAGCUGGCACCGGUGGGGCGUUCCGAGGAUUCGGGUAGACAAAAGGGACGAGAGAUUAAGGUUUUCGGCCUUUUAAAGAGAGAGAAACCGGUGACCCCCUGUUUGAGGAAAGGGGGAGAAGCCAUUUGAUUGGCCCCCCCGGGGCGGAAGAAAGAGGGAUACCCCGGGAGCUUCCCCCGGGGCGCCUGUCGGAGUAAGGACCCCCCGGGGGAGAUUUACCCCGGGGAGGGGGCAGGGGGGGGCGGAAAAACCGGGGGGCGGGGGAAGGACGUCGGGUUAGUUGGGGGGGGGGGGGCGGGGGUUCGCGGUUCUGAGAGCGGAACGGAAAAGGGGGGUGGAGGUUGUCAGGGGGGCCAACAGGGAAAAAUUU
This 1200-nucleotide ribosomal RNA is filed under the name uncultured fungus. Its description in RNAcentral is "partial 28S ribosomal RNA". The stretch from base 1 to 664 matches the Rfam family "Eukaryotic large subunit ribosomal RNA", at positions 24 to 664 of the family's 3401-position model. The record is from RNAcentral. Lineage: Eukaryota; Fungi.